AUUUUUAUAAGUUAAAAAAACUAUUAAAUUGCAAAUUUAAAUUUAUUAUUAUUAAUUAAAAAUU
RNAcentral lists this transfer RNA (64 nucleotides) under Colletes gigas. RNAcentral describes it as "tRNA-Cys". Lineage: Eukaryota; Metazoa; Arthropoda; Insecta; Hymenoptera; Colletidae. The record is from RNAcentral.